RNAcentral lists this ribosomal RNA (160 nucleotides) under uncultured bacterium. RNAcentral describes it as "partial 16S ribosomal RNA". It matches the Rfam family "Bacterial small subunit ribosomal RNA", at positions 355 to 507 of the family's 1533-position model. The record is from RNAcentral. RNAcentral also lists the same sequence under 2 other names.
UGGGGAAUAUUGCACAAUGGGCGCAAGCCUGAUGCAGCCAUGCCGCGUGUAUGAAGAAGGCCUUCGGGUUGUAAAGUACUUUCAGCGGGGAGGAAGGCGAUAAGGUUAAUAACCUUGUCGAUUGACGUUACCCGCAGAAGAAGCACCGGCUAACUCCGUG